ACUCUGCUUGAGACUCAGUGCUCUUUGUAAGAAGUAAGAAGCUUUUAAGGCUCCAAAUACUGUUGAGUCUGCAUAGGCUCUACGUUUGCUCCUGAAGUCUCCAAGCUGCCAGACCUACAUGACUCUACUAGCAGCUAAAGUGUGCCUUGGAUAUUAAUUUGUAGGACGUCUGAUUCUCUGCUAUGCUAUGCAGGUCACUAAAACAUAGCCUGCUCCUGGACCAGUGACAACAAGAGACACUUCAUUGACUCAGACUCAGAGGCAAAACCUGGCAUACUUCAUGGUGCCGUGAGUCCACCGCCUCUGUCCUGUGUUGGCAAAUAGCCUGCUACUGAACCAUGGAAUGUUCUUCCUCCACAACCAGGCUUUGGUGCAUGCUGCUUUCUUGAGAUGCGGUGCUGCAUUGCACAUAACAGCCAUCUCCUUACUCCCUGUCUGAGCAGAUGGAGUUCAGCCGGUGGAACAGAGCCACUAAGAAACUCUACCAACUGCUCUCACCAUUCUGCUUUGUCUAACCAUGUGGGGUCAAGAAACCACAGACUGAAAUAUCUGAAACUGAGCCAAGGCAAGGACAUGGAGCAUUAUAAGAACUCAAGACACUACUUUGUAGCCUCUUAAUUCCACCCUGACAAGGAUAAUCACUCUGUUGACGUCUAACACAGCAGAUCAAGUUUUAAAAUAUCCACUUUAAGGGAGUGGGAUCAUACAGCAUGCGUCUGUUCAUGUCUGACAACGUUCAUUCUGCACAGGUGAAGAGGAGAUUACAUAAGACAAAUAUCCAGAGGACCUCAGUGGGAAUGACUGGUGACAGGCUACUCAUGCAUGAACAGUGUUCUGAAGGUGGACAGUCUUUACUGUAGAAAAAACCUGCAGGGUUGCUUUAAGGUGCCGGCCGCAUCUUAGAAUCUAAAUAAAAAUGACGUAUUUCCUACCCCAUGUGAUGUUUCUUGGGCGUUUUAAAGAAUUCAGAUCAAUACCUGAUUGCAGGCAAUUUGACCACUGCUUAAUCUACAUCAGCACAAAAAAGUGCUGUGCUGGGGAGUCCAUUCACAUGCUAAUACUCGGAAGUAUUUUUCCCUGAGGAAAUCUAAAUUCUGCUAUCAUUUAUUAAUUUGACUUCCCUUAUUUCUACAAGCUGAGUUUGGAAAGGAUGCAUAUAUGUGUUUCUUUUUCUCUUACAGCUGUUAAAUUCACUGCCAUUCAUUGUUCUAAAAUCACAUCAGCGUAUUCACAGAGAGCCUGCCUCUGUGCUGACCACCAGCAACUUUGAAUCCCAAAUGCCACCCAGGAAACCUUUGGUGAGACGGCACACAGACUGGCUAAGAGGAGCUCUGUGUAUUGCCCUCAGAUAAUGAGACAUAUUUGCCAGCAAGUAGACGGUACUCACAGCUACACAAGAAUAUCUUCAGGCAUCUUCUGGCUCCUUCAUUCUGCUCUGUCAUUCUCAGUGUACCAGCCUUGACGCUCACGCUGUAGCCCGAUGCUUGCAGGGUGGCUGGUAUACUUCACACAUAAUGUGUGUAUUCAAGGUGUAAAGGGAGGAGAAAGGGGCCAAUGUAGCUCUGUCACUUCCACUGGGCAAAGUCGAGAGCUGUAGAAAGACUGUAUCCUGUAGGACAAAAACUUAAAAAAACCAAAAAAACCAGCAAUACAGUAUGGGAUAAAACAGACUAAUAAAAAAGCAAUUAUUUUAUCAUUUCUAAAGAUCAGGAAUUCCACAGAACCUUACCCGGGGAGGUCCAGUUCAGAGCUUCUCCUAGUUGUAUUUUUAUGAGCAUAUGUUAAUUGUACAAAUGGGUUUUAUGGUAAAAUUUUCAUACAAGCAUAUAAUUUACUUUGAUCAGACCCUCUGUAGCGCUCUCAUAUCACUUCUAUAACCUUUUGCUCUUGUAAUUAGGAUGCUCUUGAUUAUUGCUCUUGAUUAAGAUAUUGUCAGUGGCUGCAAUCAUUUUGAAGCACGAGUAGGUAAAAUGCAGCCACUAUUCUGAAAAAUUUGAGAGUCCAUGUUCAAGACUGGUUGCAUCUACUUUCCUACACUGUCACACUGAUUAGCCUCAAAUAAAUGCUGUCUUCUUUGUUUUGUUAUUUCAUUUUAUUUUAAUUUUUAAAACAACCAACCAACCACCAUGACUAGGGCCAGAGGAACCAUUCCUGAUGUGAUUUUUCUCAGAAGACCUGCCUCCUACCAUGUGGACCUUUCAAGGUCUCCGUGUUGUCUUUUCAUGACAUGGCAACUUGCU
Long non-coding RNA from Meriones unguiculatus (Mongolian gerbil), 2240 nucleotides. RefSeq lists it as uncharacterized. The transcript has 6 exons. Lineage: Eukaryota; Metazoa; Chordata; Mammalia; Rodentia; Muridae. The record is from RefSeq and is a predicted model, not a curated record.